CCUCGGAAAGCAAAUCGUCGUCCAGAUCUGCAUCGCCGAGCCGUCUAGGUCCUCGCCGCCGCAUGUGCUUCACCCUUGCAGUUCGCCAUAACCCAGAUCCGUCGCUGCAAUCGUCGAUCGGUUCGUGAAGCAAGCCGUACGCGUCACCUUGCAGCAGUCGUCCAGAUCUGCGUCGUCGUGCCCAUUCCUUUCCUCUCCGUUCGUGAAGACCUGCUGCGCAAUCUCUGCCUCCGUCGAAGCCAAGCCCAGCCGCCGCCCAUUCCUUUCUCCUCCGUUUUCUGCACUGCCGCGCGACUCUCCGACCGCGUCUGUCUUCACCUUCGUGAAGCCGUCGACGCAUACAUCUCGUGAAGUCAUACACGGAUCCAAGCCGAUCUCUUCCUAAAUUACGUGUCCCUCUGCUCGUUGUAAGACGGAGUUACGAUUUGAAGCCGAUUUUCUUUUCCAGUUGAGUCGCAUUCAGUGUUGCUCUAUUUACAGCCGCUUGAUUCGUUCUUGAUUGUCAUUUUUGCCUCGCCGUGAACCAUUGGGCUCAUAUUUGGGUAAGAACAAGUUAUGGUUUUUGUUGGUUUCUUGGUUUUUGUUGAAUGCUGCCAUUGGAUUUAAUUGUUGGCGAAAUGCUUAAUUCUUGAAGGUACAUCUUGAUUCAGUGAGCGAAUCUUUGAUUUUCCAAAAGGUUGAAGUGGACUUGAUUUUCCACUUCUUGGAUAAGUUGUGGAAUUUACAUAUUGGGUAAUUUGAAUGGUUGAAACUAUUUAGAAAGAUGUUGAUUUUAUGAUUGAUUAUGUUUAGGAUUUGAUUCAUUGGAUUUAGUAGAUUGAACAACUUGCAUAAAAGUGAGGUAAGGGAUUUUAUUUUCUACUGGACUCACCUAUGCUUUUAAAUUGUAAUGUUAGUCACCUCUGAUUGAGUAAAUGUGUUGAGACAAUAUAUAUAUAUACGUAUGGAUGUAGGUUCGGUGUUGAAUGUAUACUGUGGAUGACUGAAAAUAUAUAUAUACACAUGGAUUGAAGUAGACUUGAUGUUGAAUGCAUAUUGUGAUUGUCUUGGAAUAUAUAUAUAUGUGUGUGGAUGUAGACAGGACGACAAUUGUAGAUUGUGUUUGUAUGAGAUGCGGAUGUGAACUUGUGAUUGUCGUUUAGACUGGGUGUACGUUAUACUAAAGUAUGACUGUGUGCUGGUGAACUGAGAGGCGUUAUGACUAUAUAGUUUGAUUGACUGACGUAUUAGUAUGUUACUGACAGACAUUGGGCUAAAGUGAGAUAAGUUGAGUGAAAGAACUUUAUAUUUUGAAGUAGCUGAAAGAUGGUACGAAUGGAUUGAGGGGAAAAAUUGUUAGCUUUUAUUGGGAUGUGUGCCUUGUAGGUGUCCCACGGGAUCACCAAUUAUUCUGCACCUUCAGGAGCAUUAGACUGAUAUGUGUUUCUGCAGAACACUACACUGAAAUGUACGUCCCUCAGGGCGUUAGACUGAAAUGUGCAUCCUACGGGAUCACAAGACUGCGACCGUACAGGGUGUCCCAAUAGAAUGUGGGAUCACAAGACUGCGACCGUACAAGGUGUCCCAAUAGAAUGUUAACAAUUUAUUUUUCCCCUGACGGGACCAGUAGAGGGUCUCUUAUUGGGUAUUUUUAUACUCACCCUUCUUAUGUUUAAUUUUCAGGCAAAAGUAAUAAAGGCGGCAAACCGGCGAGGGGCAGGAAGGAAGUGUGAUUGCCAUAGGAAAUGUGUUAUUUUGCUUCCGCUUAUUGUUUUUUUUAGGUUUAAGACGUUGUAUUGAAACUUAGCUUACAAACUUUUAUUUGUAAAUAGUACUUUUUUUAAGUUUUUGGAAUAUUUGAAAAUCAGGCCUGACUUAAAGUUGUUUUUCAAUUGGCUUACAUUUCAUUUUGUAUCAACCAAAGUUUUUGUCAAAAAUUAACGACCUCGACUUACCUAGAAAAGUUGGGUCGUUACAGUUGGUCUUUGUUUUUGUCACUUUCUCAAAUAAUAAAGUAUGUGUUCUAUGGACUUAAUUAUUAUAACUUAUUUUGCCACUUUCGCAAGUGUCCCUUAAUUGUAAUACAUGUAUAUGUGACAUAAUCUAAUCAAACUAACUCAUAAAUGGACUUAAUCGAUCUCAUGGACCACAAAUUCUUCAAUUACUUGCAAAUUUGGUGAGUUCCUUCAAACGGUGGGCGAAGAGCUUAAUUUUGAGAGAGAGGAAAAGUCGUGAAGAGUAUUUGCGAGAGAGGGGGAACGUCGCCAGAGAGCAUUUGCGAGAGAGCUAAAGACAGUGACGAUGUGGGAUGAAGUAAGGUUUUUUUCGGUCAUUGUUCACAAGUGGGAUGAAAGCUUCGAAUUAUUUGUUUUAAAUCAAAAAGCGUAUGAUUGAAGGAAAACAUUGAUUUUUUAUUAGGGUAAUUUUUAAUGACACAUAAUUUAUGCCAUUAUUUACGAUGCGAAAAUUUUGUCAAGAAAACUCAAUUUGUGUCACAAAAAAUUUUGUAUUUUUAUUUUUAACGACACAUUUUAUUCCCUCAUAUCCCUUUUUCUUGAUUUCAAGUGUCAUUAAAACUUAUAUUUCUAAAUAAAUUUAUUCGACGAAAGUGGCUAGAUUGGUGGGUUUGACGGCGAAGGCUUGUUGUGGGAGCAAUGACAACAGUGGUUGGAGUGUGGAAUCGACGACGGCAAGUGGCAAAAAAUUGGAGGGCAAGGGUUCUUCAUAACCACUUGGUAGCCCACUUCGAACUUUUUUGAAAUUUGAGGUUUUUUCAUUUGAAAAUGUUUUUAAUGAGAAAAAAAUUGUUAAUUAAUUACGCAAAAAUUGGUUUGAAAUAAAUUAAAUUGUGUCAAUAUGAUUGUUUUAAGAAAUAAUCCAUAUUUUUAUUUUCAACAACACAAUGUACCUCAUCUCACCUCUUUUUUCUUUUAUUUUCAACGACACAAUGUCUUGAUUAAAAUCCAUUUUUCUAGUAGUGACUGAAAAAAAAACUGGACAAAAUCAUAAUAUCUUUGAUAAUUAAAUCACCAGUUGGUCUCUUACUGGGUAUUUUUAUACUCACCCUUCUUAUGUUUAAUUUUCAGGCAAAUGUAAUAAAGGCGGCAAACCGGCGAGGGGCAGGAAGGAAGCGUGAUUGCCAUAGGAAAUGUGUUAUUUUGCUUCCGCUUAUUGUUUUUUUUUUAGGUUUAAGACGUUGUAUUGAAAUUUAGCUUACAAACUUUUAUUUGUAAAUAGUACUUUUUUUAAGUUUUUGGAAUAUUUGAAAAUCAGGCUUGACUUAAAGUUGUUUUUCAAUUGGCUUACAUUUCAUUUUGUAUCAACCAAAGUCUUUUGUCAAAAAUUAACGACCUCGACUUACCUAGAAAAGUUGGGUCGUUACAGUUGGUAUCAGAGCCUAAGUUUUAGGUUCUGUAGACUUACUUACGAUGUAAGUCUAUGUUUUAUGUCCCUUUGCCUAACGCGACCCUUCGUCUCUCGUCAGGUAUGCUUUAUGCUUAUAUGUAUGGUUUAUUUGCAUGACUUUGCCUAAAUUAAACUAGAUUGCAUGACGAUAAAGACUUGCUUAUGCUUAUGAUUAAGACUUUUUAAAGAGUGUUGUUGGUGGAUAAUAGGAAUUAUGCCGCCAAAGAGAGGUGUACGUAGAGGAGGUCGUAGAGGCCGGGGUAGAGGAGCAGGUCGUAAUCAACCUACUGAGGGUCAAGCUGAAUAGCGAAUUCCUACUGCACCCGUGACUCAUGUUGAGUUUGCUGCACUGUCUGCUCACAUGGAGCAGAGGUUCACGGAGCUUAUGACGGCUAUAGCUCAGAACCAGCAGGCACCUGCAGUUCCACUUGCACCUGUGGUUCCCCCUGUAGCAGCAGCUCCACCUGCACCAGCAGCCCCUCCUGCGCAAGGAUUGGCUGCACAACAGCCGUAGACAUUACCGAACCAACUUUCUGCUGAGGCGAAACAUUUGAGGGACUUUAGGAAAUAUGACCCUCAGACGUUUGAUGGGUCACUAGAGGAUCCUACUAAAGCUGAGUUGGGGUUGUCCUCUGUGGAAAUCAUAUUUAAUUACAUGAGAUGUCCAGAGAAGCAUAGAGUUCAGUGUGCUGCUUUUCUUCUGAGGGACAGAGGUAUUAUCUGGUGGAGAACUACGAUGCGUAUGCUAGGUGGAGAUGUGAGACAGAUUACCUGGGAUCAGUUUAAAGACUGCUUCUAUACCAAGUUUUUCUCGGCUAACCUUAGAGACGCCAAAAGCCAGGAAUUCUUGGAAUUGAAGCAAGGACAUAUGACAGUCGAGGAGUACGACCAGGAGUUUGAUAUGCUGUCGCGUUUUGCCCCUGAACUUGUUGGUAAUGAGCAGGCUAAAGCUGAUAGGUUCGUCAAAGGAUUGAGAGAUGAGAUUAGAGGCUUUGUGCGAGCACUAAAGCCCACUACCCAGGCUGAAGCGCUGCGCCUGGCAAUGGAUAUGAGCAUUGGGAAGGAUGAAAUUCGGGCAAGGAGUUUUGAUAAGGGAUCGUCGUCUGGUCAAAAGAGGAAAGCAGAGCAGAGAACUGUGGGAAUUCCUUAGAGGAACUUGAGAUCAGGCAAUCCUUUUUGCAGUUUCCAGCAGAGUUCUGGUGGGGCAGGAGACACUACUCGAGAGAAGCCACUAUGCAAUACGUGUGGGAAACACCACCUGGGUCGUUGUUUGAUGGGAACGAGAGUCUGUUAUAAGUGCAAGCAAGAGGGACACAUGGCUGAUCGAUGUCCCUUAAGAUCUACUGGGGCUGGACAGAGCAGUCAGGGAGCGAAACCUCCACAGCGGGGUACAAUCUUUGCCACUAAUAGAUCAUAAGCACAGAAGGCCUGCACAGUGAUGACAGGUACAUUACCAGUGUUAGGGCAUUUUGCCUUAACCUUGUUUGACUCGGGGUCUUCUCAUUCAUUUAUUUCAUCGCUUUUUGUGACGCAUGCAUGCUUAGAGAUGGAACCCUUAGAUUAUGUUUUGUCAGUGUCUACACCGUCUGGAGAAAUUAUGUUGUCUAAGGAAAAGACUAAAGCAUGUGAAAUUGAGAUAGCUGGUCGUGUGCUGGACGUAACCUUGUUGGUAUUAGAUAUGCGUGACUUUGAUGUAAUUUUAGGUAUGGAUUGGCUAGCUACUAAUCAUGCUAGUAUUGAUUGCUCUCGUAAAGAGGUUGUGUUCAGUCCCCCUACCGAAUCUAGCUUUAAAUUCAAGGGGGUAGGAACAGUAGUACUGCCUAAAGUAAUCUCAGCUAUGAAAGCUAGUAAACUGCUCAACCAGGGUACCUGGAGUAUUUUGGCAAGUGUGGUGGAUACUAGGGAAGAUGAGACUUCCUUAACUUCAGAACCUGUGGUAAGAGAAUACCCAGAUGUGUUUCCAGAAGAUCUUCCAGGACUACCGCCACAUAGAGAGAUUGAUUUUGCCAUUGAGUUGGAGCCAGACACUACUCCCAUUUCUAGAGCCCCUUAUAGGAUGGCUCCUGUCGAGUUGAAAUAACUGAAGGUACAGUUACAGGAGUUGCUUGACAAAGGCUUUAUUCGACCUAGUGUGUCGCCUUGGGGUGCACCAGUAAUUGUUUGUGAAGAAGAAGGAUGGGUCGAUGCGUCUUUGCAUUGACUAUAGAGAGUUGAAUAAAGUAACAAUCAAGAACAGAUAUCCUUUACCUAGAAUCGAUGAUUUGUUCGAUCAGUUACAGGGAGCCACGGUGUUCUCUAAGAUUGACUUACGGUCAGGUUAUCACCAGUUGAGGAUUAGAGACCGUGAUAUUCCUAAGACUGCUUUUCGUUCGAGGUACGGACAUUAUGAAUUCAUAGUAAUGUCUUUUGGUUUGACUAAUGCACCUGCAGUAUUUAUGGAUUUGAUGAACAGGGUGUUUAAGGAUUUCUUAGACACUUUUGUGAUAGUCUUCAUUGAUGAUAUUUUGGUUUAUUCAAAGACUGAGGCCGAACAUGAGGAACACUUACAUAAAGUGUUAGAGACUCUUCGAGUCAAUAAACUUUAUGCUAAAUUCUCUAAGUGCGAAUUUUGGUUGAAGCAGGUGGCUUUUCUUGGUCAUGUGGUUUCCAGUGAGGGAGUUUCUGUAGACCCUGCAAAGAUAGAAGCGGUUACCAGUUGGUCUCGACCCUCUACAGUUAGUGAGGUUCGUAGUUUUCUGGGUUUAGCAGGGUACUACCGGAGGUUUGUGGAGGAUUUUUCACGUUUGGCUACUCCCUUGACUCAGUUGACAAGGAAGGGAACUCCGUUUGUUUGGAGUCCAGCUUGCGAGGAUAGUUUUCAGAACCUUAAGCAAAGGUUAGUUACUGCACCGGUCCUUACAGUACCAGAUGGAUCCGGAAGUUUUGUGAUUUACAGUGAUGCUUCCAAGAAAGGACUGGGUUGUGUUUUGAUGCAGAAAGGUAAGGUGGUUGCUUAUGCCUCUCGUCAGUUGAAGAGUCACGAGCAGAACUACCCCACACAUGAUUUGGAGUUGGCAGCAGUGGUUUUUGCAUUGAAGAUAUGGAGACAUUAUUUGUACGGUGAAAAGAUACAAAUCUUUACUGACCAUAAGAGACCUGAAGUACUUCUUCACUCAGAAGGAGUUGAAUAUGAGACAGCGAAGGUGGCUCGAGUUGGUAAAGGAUUAUGACUGUGAGAUAUUGUACCAUCCUGGUAAGGCGAAUGUGGUGGCUGAUGCUCUUAGUAGAAAAGUAUCACAUUCGGCAGCACUCAUUACUAAACAGGUACCAUUACAUCGAGACUUGGAGAGAGCUGAGAUUGUAGUAUCUGUGGGGAGAGUCACCUCACAGUUAGCUCAAUUAACGGUGGCAACUGACUCUGAGGCAGAAAGAUUGUUGAUGCUCAGAGUAAUGAUCCUUAUUUGAUGGAAGAGACGUCGCCUUGUUGGAACAGAGCAGACUGAUGAGUUCUCCAUAUCCUCUGAUGGUGGAUUGAUGUUUGAGAGACGUUUGUGUGUGCCAGCGAACAGUGCAGCUAAGAUUGACUUACUAGAUGAAGCCCAUAAUUCUUCAUUUUCCAUGCAUCCUGGUAGUACGAAAAUGUAUCAGGAUCUAAAACGAUUUUAUUGGUGGCGGAAUAUGAAAAGGGAAGUGGCGGAAUUCGUUAGUAAGUGUCUAGUAUGUCAGCAGGUUAAGGCACCUAGACAGAAACCAGCAGGUUUGUUACAACCUUUAAGUGUGCCAGAGUGGAAGUGGGAGAAUGUGUCGAUGGAUUUUAUUUCAGGGCUGCCUAAGACCCUGAAGGGUUUCACAGUGAUUUUUGGUUGUGUAGACAGGCUUACGAAAUCGGCACAUUUUGUACCAGGGAAAUCCACUUAUACUACUAGUAAGUGGGCACAGUUGUAUUUAACUGAGGUUGUGAGACUGCAUGGAGUGCCUGUAUCGAUUGUUUCUGACAGGGAUGCACGGUUUACUUCCAAGUUUUGGAAGGGACUUCAGACUGCUAUGGGUACGAGAUUAGAUUUCAGUACAGCCUUUCAUCCACAGACUGAUGGUCAAACUGAACGUUUGAACCAAGUUUUAGAGGAUAUGCUACGAGCUUGUGUUCUAAGAGUUUCCAGGUAGUUGGGACUCUCAUCUACAUUUGAUGGAGUUUGCUUAUAACAACAGUUUCCAGGCUACCAUCGGUAUGACACCAUUUGAGGCUUUGUAUGGUAAAUGUUGUAGAACCCCUAUUUGUUGGAGUGAGGUUGGUGAACAGAGGUUGAUGGGACCUAAAUUAGUUCGGUCUACUAAUGAGGCUAUUCAAAAGAUUAGAGCACGUAUGCAAACAGCGCAGAGUAGACAAAAGAGUUAUGCAGAUGUACGGCGAAAAGACCUUAAGUUUGAUGUGGGAGAAAAGGUAUUCUUGAAGGUAGCACCUAUGAAGGGUGUUAUGCGUUUUGAGAAGAAAGGGAAGUUAAGUCCUCGUUUUGUUGGACCAUUUGAGAUCUUAGAGAGGGUUGGUGUUGUGGCGUAUCGCUUGGCAUUACCACCAUCACUCUCUGCAGUCCAUAAUGUUUUCCAUGUUUCGAUGUUGUUGAGGAAGUAUGUGGCCGAUACAUCUCAUGUCGUGGACUAUGAACCCUUGGAGAUUGAUGAGCAUUUGAGCUAUGUAGAACAACCUGUGGAGAUUCUGGCUAGAGAGGUAAAGAUGCUUCGUAAUAGAAGCAUUCCAUUAGUAAAGGUUUUGUGGCGGAAUCAUCGAAUUGAAGAGGCGACAUGGGAGCGAGAAGAAGAGAUGAGGACUCGUUAUCCAGCGUUAUUUCAGGAUUAGAACUUUCGCCUUAAGGAGGAAAGAAUGUAACGCCCCAAACUCGAAGGUAUUUUAUUUUAAGAGAUUUUUUCGAUUUGUACCAGAUUUAUUGUUUUGAAGAAAAUAUGUUGAAGGGGGGAAAGAAGAUUUGAAAAUGUGAUAAUACAAUUAUAUAUAUAUUUAUUUAUAUAUUUAGUUUUAUUAUUUAGUUUAAAUAAAAGAAAAGAAAAAGAAAUUUUAUUAUAUAUAUAUUUAUUUAUAUUUUAGUUUUAUUUUUAUUAUUUAAAUAAAAGAAAAGAAAAAAGAAAAUUUUUCCUUCCUUCUUCCUCCCGUGCGUCCUCCAUCCCUUUCUCCUUCCCGUACCCUAGCAUCCGCACAUCCCUCUCUUCUCCGUUCACCCAGUCGGCCACACAAGCUGCCGGUCGUUUCUUCUUCUUCUUUCCGGUCGUCUUCCUUUUCUCCUUCGGAUCGAAACCGUCGCGCCGUCGCUUGUGCUUCACCCUUGCAAUUCGCCAUAACCCAGAUCCGUCGCUGCAACCGUCGGCCGGUUCGUUAAGUGUCGUACGCGUCACCUUGCAGCAGUCGUCCAGAUCUGCGUCGCCGUGCCCAUUGCUUUCCUCUCCAUUCGUGAAGCCCUGCUGCGCAAUCUCUGUCUCCGUCGAAGCCAAGCCCAGCCGCCGCCCGUUCCUUUCUCCUCCGUUUUCUGCACUGCCACGUGACUCUCCGACCGCGUCUGUCUUCACCUUCGUGAAGCCGUCGACGCAUACAUCUCGUGAAGUCAUACACGGAUCCCAGUCGAUCUCUUCCUAAAUUACGUGUCCCCUAUCAAGUCGACGUUCUUGUGCUCGUUGUAAGACGGAGUUACGAUUUGAAGCCGAUUUUCUUUU
This 9084-nucleotide long non-coding RNA is filed under the name Cucumis sativus (cucumber). Its description in RNAcentral is "long non-coding RNA (CSAT_LNC002971)". Lineage: Eukaryota; Viridiplantae; Streptophyta; Magnoliopsida; Cucurbitales; Cucurbitaceae. The record is from RNAcentral.